RNAcentral lists this ribosomal RNA (889 nucleotides) under Perodira minuta. RNAcentral describes it as "SSU rRNA". It matches the Rfam family "Eukaryotic small subunit ribosomal RNA", at positions 72 to 967 of the family's 1831-position model. The record is from RNAcentral. Lineage: Eukaryota; Metazoa; Nematoda; Chromadorea; Rhabditida; Homungellidae.
GAUUUAAUCGUGAAACCGCGAAUGGCUCAUUAUAACAGCUAUAAUUUACUUGAUCUUGACACAAUCCUACUUGGAUAACUGUGGCAAUUCUAGAGCUAAUACAUGCAUUAAAGCUCUGACCUUACGGAACGAGUGCAUUUAUUAGAACAAAACCAAGCGGCUUCGGCUGUUUUCGGUUGACUCACAAUAACUGAGCUGAUCGCAUGGUCUUGCACCGGCGAGUGUCUUUCAAGUAUCUGCCGUAUCAACUUUCGAUGGUAGUGUAUCUGACUACCAUGGUGAUCACGCGUAACGGAGAAUAAGGGUUCGGCUCCGGAGAGUUCGCCUGAGAAAUCGCGAACACAUCUAAGGAAGGCAGCAGGCGCGAAAAUUACCCACUCUCAGAAUGAGGAGGUAGUGACGAAAAAUAACGAGACCGUUCUCUUACGAGGCCGGUCAUCGGAAUGGGUACAAUUUAAACCCUUUAACGAGUAUCUAUGAGAGGGCAAGUUUGGUGCCAGCAGCCGCGGUAAUUCCAGCUCUCAAAGUGCAUAGAAUUAUUGCUGCGGUUAAAAAGCUCGUAGUUGGGUCUGUGCCAUAGGACUGUGUCCACCUUCGGGUGCGUACAUAGUUCCUAGGCUUUUUGCCGGUUUUCCCGUCGUAGCCUUCAUUGGUUGCGGCGGGUGGCUGGCGAGUUUACUUUGAGAAAAUCAGAGUGCUCAAUACAGGCGUGUUGCUUGAAUGAUUGUGCAUGGAAUAAUAGAAAAGGAUUUCGGUCCUCUUUUAUUGGUUUUGUGGACUGAGAUAAUGGUUAACAGGGACAAACGGGGGCAUUCGUAUCGCUGCGUGAGAGGUGAAAUUCUUGGACCGUAGCGAGACGCCCUACUGCGAAAGCAUUUGCCAAGAAUGA